Long non-coding RNA from Gallus gallus (chicken), 9771 nucleotides. RefSeq lists it as uncharacterized. The record is from RefSeq and is a predicted model, not a curated record. The transcript is spliced from 10 exons. Lineage: Eukaryota; Metazoa; Chordata; Aves; Galliformes; Phasianidae.
GAAAUGUGAAAUUACAGAAUUUUAACUUCGGUACCAGGUGCCUGAAACUGGAAACUGAGCUUCAUCUUUAGUGCUCAGUAAUGUAUCCCUAUACUCAUGGAGAAAAAAAAACUUCAGUCCUAUGAAAAAAUGUCUUUCAAAGCAUUCAGGUGCAAAGAGUGAGUAAUGUGGUGAUCAGAAGGAAGGCUGACUGUCUGAAAAGAAGCUGGACCCAGUAAAACCGGUUGAGAAGGGACACAAUUGCUGUCUAUAAAUUUAUGAUGAGGUGACUACUUCAUCAACUUGGCUUUUCACUGGCAUAGAAGAACCAGAAAAUGAACCUGGCACUAGAAGCCUGUGUUUCUUCUGCAGCUGGGAAAGCGGUGGGCCUCUCCAGAGCAAGAUUCACCAAAGCAUAUACAAGACUCUCGAUGCUGGAUGUGAAGGCAGAGAAACAAUUUACUGUUUUAAAACAAAGAGCCUGUUCCUCAGGAGACAUAGACUGGUAAAAUUCAUGUGAAGGCACACCCCAGUUUCCUUGACUGCAAUGCAAUCCAAAUGCAGGCUUCAAGACCCAAUGGUCAGAGUAUUGGGUCAAGCUGAGAACUUGUGGGUUGUUGUCCUGGGCUCAGCUGCUCAUCUUGCCUCAACCUCUUCAGCAAAAAAUGUUUCAGAUUGCUUUUCUGCUCCUGCUUCUGAAGAGAAGUGAUGAGGAGCUGUCCUAUGAAAUGAUAGGGAAGCACUUGCAGAGGAGCACAGAGAUUAGGGAUACCCCUUGGAGGAAGGCAUUCAUGCUCCAUGCCAACCUGUGGGCUCCCAUCCACCUCCCACUGCCCACCGCAGCUCCUCUUUCCUGCCACGGGACACCACCAACCCUGGCUGUCCUUGGCCCCAGCACUUCCCAAACUCAGCAGGACUCAGUUCACUGGCCUGAAACAGUGGAAUAAAUCUCACAGUUUUUCCCUCAAGAGGUAUAAUCCUUCAGUUUUCAUGACGGCAGUUUUCCUGUUUAUUUCAACAGAAGUGGUAUCUCAAGAUGAAUGGCAGGAUAAUACCCAUUUGAAAUAUAAGUGGACAGCAGCAUCAGAUCAAAUGGAUGGUGAAAAGAGACUGAAUGGAAAAUGAUGACAGGGCAAAAAUGUCCCUUCCUACCAACAUCUUCAAUGUUUUCAUUUCCAAGCAUUUGUUAAGCAAGGAAGAGGAUCUCUCUCUAUUUAAUGUAAUUUAGUGAUAAUUCUUUGGAAAAGAGAAAAUAUCCUUUCACAGCUGUAUCAACAAUAUCUUCUCUCUUAAAAGAAAACAGCAGCUGACUUGACAUGUCAAGCAUCACGUAUUUGGCCACGGAAGGCAAGCAUGAGCCAGACUGGUCAAUAGCACUGACUUGGAACAAUGCCACUGAAAAGUUGGUCUGUAAACUGAUGCUACCUUAUUUCUUGGAUUGUAGAAGGGCUUGCUGAGAUUUAGCAGCAAUGCAGAACUACCACAUUCCCGGUAGAUAUUUCUUUUCUUGUUACAUGAGACCCAUGCAUGAAGUGAAAAAGAACAAAUGAACAUCAGGUUUACAUCACCACUGAUAUGUGAAUGAUUGAUCACCCAUUAAAUCACAUACAGAGCUGGUAACAGCACACGGGGUAGCGUUAAAGUAAAAUGUUUGAUAUUCUUUACUCUAAUUAAACAUGGAAAUAAUACGAUGCAGUCUGUAUUGUAAAUGUUAUUGCAGAUUAUAGACCUAAAGGAGAGGUGUUAUGCCACCUUUAUAGCCUCCAGUUCCUGGAGACUGUGACUUAGAGCUGCCUCAGGGCUGCCCUAAAUUACACCAGUUGGUAAUGACUCCCAGAGGGCCGCUAUGCAUCCAGUGGUUGCUGGAGUGUAAAGUACUUUGGCUAUGCCAACAGCCCAUCAUUUCACAAUGGAGGCUGAGAGCAGCUGGCAUAGUGCUUGGAGAAAAUCCCCAAGUAGUGGUUUAAGACAUUUUUCGAACUCUUUUUUUUUUGUCAUGAGAGUGAUAUAAAAUAAAGGCCAGAUUUCACAAACACACAGGGGCUUUUCCUUUAUUAUUUAAGCAUCUGUAGUCGUGAGUUGAUAAACUGAGAGAUGAGGGUUUCUAUAGGAUUUCAGAGCAGGUAUCAACCCAAUACUGCUUCAGCUUGGCAGCAUUCCAGCUCUUUGCCCUGGCCCCUAUUCCCUGCGUGGUGCAGUGGAGCACCACUGGCUGUCAAAGGCAUACUCCUGGUUUACAUCUCUGUUAGCAAAAGGAGAACUGGAUUCCCCCUUGUAAGUGCCAGAUUUUCAAUUCAGGAUCAUAUUCCAUUCUUCGAUGGAGCUGCCAAAGAUAAAACUUGACUUUCCACAUGUAAAAUGUUUUUGUAAAUGUAUGUGUGACUCAUUCAAUAGCUCAGCCCAUCCUCACUCAGUGAGUGAUGAUUUUUCUGUCCAGUGUGUGGGUGGGCUGACCAUUCUUACGCAAAUCUCAAAUAUAAAAAGUUUUCUUGGACAUUAGGGAAUAAUAUUGGCAGUUUGGGGAUUUUGUUUUGAUGUGAUGCUCACUUAAAGCAUCCUGAAGAUAAUAGCUGACUGCUAGCAGCAGAAACUCACAACUCACAAACUGAGAUGAUGCAGCCCAAAAUUCAGAUGGCUGUGUUUUCAAAUCUCUGAGAUAACAAGCCACUGCUGUUGAUCUUACUAUAAGUUCUAUGAAACAUAAUCAAAAAUAAAGUAAGGGACAGAGAUAUCACAGGUAGGAAAUCCUUUGGGCAGUCACAGGUAGGUGUUGUUCUCAGAUAAAUUUACUAGAGAAAAGUAAGUAUCUUUUCUGUUCUAAAGAGAGUUAUUUUAAAGAGUCACUGAGCUCCAAUAUCACUGAGGAGGAGAAUGAUUUCACGGAGAAAUUUUUCUGGAUGUGAAUUCAUAAAGGACUCACUCUCACAUUGUGUGGAGAAAGAUGAGUGUUAAGACAGAGGGCUGAGCUGUAACCUUCCUAAUGGGAAGAAAAAACUAGAAUUCCCUUCUCUUUCGCAGAGUUCUCUGAGCUAGUCCUGGCUAGCAGACCUGUGUAGGGCAGCAAAAAGACAAAAGAAGGACUGAUUAAAGAAGCUAACAUGGCAUCUUGUCUGCUCCCUGACUGUGCAUCCUUCUGUACACGUGGAAGAGAGAUGGUCUGGCAUUUCUGUCUCUCCCUGCAAGGAUCAAAUGGUGGUGAGAAAACUUCCUUGGUGCUUUGUACCUAUCUGCUGACAGAUGGACACACAAAGAGUUCCCAAAAAAAGAAAGCCCUGGAAGCUGGGGAAGGUCAGAGCUUGCCUGCACCGUUAAGACAUGGGGACAAAUUGGCAUCCAUACAACAGAUCUGCAUUGCCUCCCUUGAGCAUUUUUCCAAGACUGAGCAAACGCAGAAGAUGAUAUUGUACUUCUGGGUCACGAUAAGCUAUAAAGAUGUGUAAGCCUGUGUGUAGGGGUAAUAUGUGUACACAUCACAGAAGGAAUGAGUAAAUCAUUGUAAGGAAAGCCAGAUUCAUUUCUACAUCAUCUUGUACAUUUUUAAAAAUGUUUAGCAUUGCAUUUUAUCCUCAAAUACUGGAGUGAUCAGGCAGGUCCCGGAUGUGCUUUUCUAUACUUUCCCAUCUAAGGUAACUAAGAGUUUUCUUAUAUUCUACCAUUCUUGUCUUUAACUCUCAGCUCUCAUUAUAUCCUUCCCUUUCAGUCAAUCAAUAGCUUUGAGAAUGGUCCCGCUAAUGCUCUUCUUUUAUGUUACAUCCUUUUCCCUACCAGCUACCAUCUUCUCCCUCUUGGCUGCAAAACCUUCUGUUUAUAUUUGAACCUUGCUUCACCAGCUGCCUUUCUUCUGCUCUUGGGUGCACUAUGCAGGUGUUACCCUAUGUGCACAUCCUUUGCACACUUAUGUUCAGAGUUAUUUCCUCUUCUAUGCAAUACUCUUUAGUCAUGAAACGUGGCUCCUCUUGUACCCACUGUUUUGUCUCUUCUGAUAUCUAGUUUCUGCUAGGUGCCACUGUCCAAGUGCCUGUGUUGAUAUAGACAUAUUUUCAGAGUAUAAUGAAUGAGCUAUUGCAGAUUGAACAGUGAGUAUUCAGGAAUAUAUAUCACACACUUUUAUUCUCUGCUAUUUAAAAGGAGAUUAUUGGCUCCAAAGGGUUAGUAGUAUUCAAUACAUAUUUAAUGUAUACUUAAUAGCCAUAUAUUGGUCUCUGAAGUUCAUAAAGUUUUUGAACUUCAAUAACUGAUUUAAAGUCUGGGGUAGGAAGUCUCCAGAUAAUUACAAGACACUUGUUAGUAAGUUUGAGUCCAUGAACUGAAUUUUCUAGCGCUGGAACCAUAAGAUGCACCACACAUAAUUCGCUAAACAGAUUUUGUAGAAUGACUGUGGCCAUUUCAAGCCUGCACACCUAAAUUCUCUUCUCAUUCUUGCACCACAAGCUCUGGAAAACACUUGCACCAUUCAGUACAGAUGCCCAGUGGUGUAUGGCUUCUGGAAGACUUUCACAGUCAUAAUUACCUGCCCUGGAUGUCAAACAUACCUAGCCAAGCAGCUGCUCUGCUGUAUGUCCAAACCACCCACACCAAGUCCAAGUCCAAGUCUGCAGCACAAAGCAGUGCUCAAACAAAGGAAGGAGAGCUGCUAGCAAGGAUGGCACUGAGUACAGCAGACACCGUACUGGAUAAAUCAUCAGCAGAUGAAGAUGGUAAAUUAGUUCAAUUGCAGAUGAGAACUCAGAGCCCACUGGAAGUUGAUUUGUUUGUCAGCAUCCAGGAUCUUACAGCAUGAAGCACAUCUGUCCCAGCCGUGCUCUGUCACGGGGAAAGGAGCACAAGGAUGCCUACGUGUCAGUUUGCUAGCCUGAAAAAUGCCCUUUCCUUCUGAAUGGCUCCCACUUUGCUUGCCUCAAUCUUCUACAAUUACUUCAAAUUUCAAACAUUUACAGACAAAUUGGCAAUACGCAAAGCUGUGACAUUCCAAAGACAAUGCUCACUGACAGCGAGAGGCUCACAUCUCAUAUGCUUCAAAACUCAGGGAGAAAAGGAAUGGGAGAAAAGAGGCUGCCAACCCAGGAUGAAGAAAAAUGGCAGCUUUAUCUUUCUACUUACUUGUCAACCGUAUUCCCCCCUGAUUGUGGAAGAUGGGAGACCUCCUUUUUUGAAUUAUUGCAUUAAGUCUGACAGAAGUACGAGAAGCCCAGCACUGUGCUGUAGUGGGAAUGUGCUGCUUAUUGCAGACUGUCCAGGUAUGCUUCAAGAAAAGAACUGCUGUGGGUAGAAAUGGAAAAAUAAGGGGCAGCUGGAAAGGAGGGUCUUUGCACCUUAGCUGCACUUUUAGAAAUUGAAAAGGUAACUGUAGAAACACCAAGUGCUGGUAAUCUUUGACACUCUCAUUAUUAGGAGGUUCUUAAAUUUUAUUCAUGUGGCUCAUAUUCAACCUGACAAGUCAUGUAGCGAUUAAAAAUUGGAAUGCUGCAACAACAGUGUUAGAAUUAGGAUCAGUGACUGGUUUAACUCUCCCUGACAAGGAAAGCCUGGCAAAUGACUCGGUUCCAGCCAGUAGGGAAUCUUCAGGCUCACUGCGCACUACCAAUGUAUCCUGACAAGCCUCGUCAAGACAGCCAACGUGGGCUUAGCAGAUGCCCUCGGAAAGUUUCCUCUUCUUACCUUUCUUGCUCCUGUGUAGUUUGUCCCUGGACUGCGGAGUAAGUGUUAGGAUAGGCUUAAUGGAAGAUAGUUGCAUUUUUUGAGACCUUCCAUAAAGCCUGGAGGUGAGCAACUGAGGCUCAGGAUGCGCUUUUCCCUCCUCAAUUUCCAGUAAAAGAGUUCUUGCAGUGAUUCAAAAUCAAAGGUGGGAUAUUUAACAUUAUGAGAAGCUGCUAGAAGGAAUUACUGUGGUGCAAUUACAUGACCACCAAGGACUGAAAUUUCCAUUAAAGCAUGUGGGCUCUACCAUGGGUCUUACAGCACUCAGACAGCCUCAGAUAUGUUCAGAUAAUGAUUUAGGCUCCCCUGGUAUCUCUCUCUCUCUUUCUAAUAACAUGCUGCCCUUUCUGUGGUACAGUUGCAGGACAGAUGUCUUUGACUGAUGUGUUUGAAACAUGGGUGGUUUAGUAUCUGUGUUCUAAUAAUGACUGAUUUUUGGUAUCCUGGGAGAACAUCUCUCUUGGCACUUAAGAUAUAAAAAACAAGUGACAUUUUGAAAUAAACAAGGUCUACAGGUGAUAGAAUUAGCACUCAAUCUGCCAUCCUACAUGCAAGGCAGAGCCUCAGCCACCAGACAUAUUAAAAAUGUCUUCUGAGGUAAGAUGGCUAAAAGUUUGAGUUCAUUAUGAAGAAACUUACACACAAACCUUACUCUCCCUUCUUCAAAAGUCAUCACGAUUUCCAUGUGUGUAUAGCAAGUGGCAUUUCCCUGGGCAGAAGGGCAGGGAUGGGAAUAGAGAUCAGGUAGCCACAGUGGAGACCUUUCAUCCCCCAGGUAAUAUGGGGCUGUUUUCCUCAGCAGCUCUCCUGUGGACAGUCUGCAGUACCAAUUUUAGCAGGUGGGCAGACUACUGACGACUUCUGUUGUCUUUACCUCAUGCAAAGGUGCAAGGGUUCAGUCUAGUUUUCAGGUUAACAGAUCCCUAACCCCUCUGUGGCCCCUGGGACAAGGAUUCCUUCCAUACCAUGCAAGCAUCUCAGAUUGCCUGUAAGAUUUUAGCCCGGUACAGCACUAGCAAUACCAGUGGCUCUGAUGGCUAGAAUAUCUGAGUUAGAGAAAAUGACAGUUUUACUUAAGAAAAAGAUAUUCAAAUGUUUGACUUUUAUAAGUUCUGUUUACUCACCUAAUAAAAUUUUCUUAGAGACAAGAAAAUCUGAAAUUUUAGUGGACGACUUCAAAGUCCAUACUCAGUAAAACUCAAGUGCCAUUCCAGUACAGAUUUUAAAUAUGCAAUUGCAGAUACAAUCUGUCUCUGAUAAAAUAUUAUUGUGUGCUGGCAGAAGAGAUAGUAAUCAGCUCUUGAUUAAUAUUCAUUGUAUACAUAUAUGUAUUCAGGAAAUUAAAAGGUAUUUUCAGACAGUCAGAGAGCAUACAGCACAAAAGACAUUCCUAGAUAAAUUGAACAUGCAGUGGUCAAGGCAAUCUCUUGAAUUCAGAGUUGGUGAAAGGCCAGCCACUUCAUUUUUUCAUUCACCCCAGAGGAUUAAGAAAAACUGAGCUGAUAGAAUCUUGUGAUCCCACCCACUUUGGGUGCAUGUUUUCUAAUUAAAAUGGAAAUUUGAUCAAUUAUCAAAACGCGCUGGCUGAUAGAGAUGUGCCAUUCAUCUUCUGUGCAAUCCUACAUCUGCCUUGGAAGCAAGAGGAGUGUUUUCAGGUUCUGCAAUAAUUUAGACAUUAAAAAUACCAUGAUUAUUAUUAUAUUCACUUCUAAGGCAGUCAUCAUUUGUAUCUGAAAUGAGCCAAACCAAGCCACUGUCCUGUCCUCCACCAAGAUCACGCCAAAUUAGCUAACGCAUAAAUGUAUAGAGAGAAUUGCAUACAUGGGGACAGAGAUAUAUAUCUGACAUUAACAAAGAUAUCAGUAAGUAUCCUGACAUUUGCAAAGGCUAAUCAUUUCAUAGAACUAUUUGCAGAAUUAUGUACUUCUCUGUGAAGUCUCAAUGACCAUUAAAGAGAAUGGAAAAUUUUCUACAGUGCUUUCAUUAGGAAACAUGAAUCCACAUGAAUAAUGCUGAGUUGUGCAUAUUCCAAUUGGUUCUUCAUACACUCUGGGCACAUAACAAACCCCUUAUACAAACUUAUCAAAGCUGACUGAGUAAGGAGCACUGGGCAAAUUUAAAAAAAAAAAUACCAUUAAUGUAAGUAAGUGCUCGUGCUAGUUUGAUAAGCCACAGCUCUUCUGUCAUGUGCACUUCCCCAUAAUCUUGUUUGCCAAAGACCUGGACUUUCCCAGUGGGCAGUGAGUGGGCACUGGGGAGGACUUCAAGGUAUUCAGAUACAAAUAAGGAAGGCGAAGUCCAGAAAAUGGCUACUGCCGAAGCAAAGAGGAGAAAGUUCAAACCGUGAACUGAAGAAAAAUGCUUAUUGAAACACUUUCAACCAAAACAUAAAGUAACAGUUGUGGAGAACCCAGUAUCCACUAUUGCUCAAACUGAGAGAAUAAGAGCACAUGAGGUGGCCAGUUACAGUGCUGUGCUAUCCUAAUCCUUCUUGGACUGGUUAUAACGCCACAUAAAAAAACUCUCAGUGCUCAUAUACAUCAACAGCUCAAAUGGCAAAGGCCAGUCUUAAUGCACUAAGAAAGCAGAAUGGGGAAAGUCACUGAUAAUUUGCUGCCUUCUGUCACAGGAAUCCACUGGUUCCCACCAGUUAGGCCCUGGCAGCUCAGCAAACCAAAAAAGUCCACUGUCUGGAAAACUGAGGAGAGAGAGCUUGCAAUGAAACAAAUGGAUGCCUCAAAAGCUCCACAAAUACAGGACUCAAAGUGUAACAGCAAUUUUCUUCCUAUUGUACAUUGCCUAAGAAUUCCCUUCAAAGUGAAAAGUUUAUGGAAGAUGAAAAGAGAAACAUCAGAAGGCUUAAGUACAUAUUUCCUGUACUCUCUCUUACCUAUUUGUUUGUAGACUGUAGCUAAAAAAAAAAAAGUGCUGCUGCAAGGCAUGAGUAUGUGCAAAUCUCCAAGUCAAGACUGUACUACAGUGGGCCAAGAACUCUGCCAAAAGCAAUGAGAAUAAGAUUAUCUGGACUCAGAAAAAGCAGAACAGCCUGGCUUGCUGGUUUACAGUAAGGAGGCUGCAGUACAGGACAUUUUUUUACAUUUUGUUUAGCACAAUUCUCACUAUUACUUCUAUAGAGUUCAACUUUAGGAAGUCACUGCAAGUCUUAAAAGUCUUAGAAGUGGUUGUCCACAAAGGUAGGUUGCUGAAGCUUUUUUCUGUCGCCCUUGCUCAAAGUAUUUCUAAAAUUGAUAAAGGCCAUUUAAACACCUGGUGUGUUAGGUUAAUAACACCUAUUAGUGUUACACCUGGUAACACUAAUACUGCAUUUGCUCCCUAUGCAGGGCAUAGGUGUUCAGCAUUAGGGCACUAAAUCUGCCUAGGACCACCCUGCUUCAAAGGCUCUUAUAUUAUUUAAGGCGAAGAGAACAAGAAAAUGUGAGUGACCAGACUAGACACCCAUUUCAUUUUUUGUUCCAAAGACCAUGCUGAGAUUAUAACACUGCCUCCCAUUGUAAAAGCACAGUUAUUUGAGAUUGUUUCUGUUUCAUGUCUCUCUGUGGGUGAGCAAGAGAGCUAACAUAAUCUUGUUUGUUUGCAAAUUACAGUGAGUUUAUUCUAAUUUCAUAUACAGAUGUUUUCCAGAGUUUAACUUAUUUAGGCAUCAGUCUGUGUGAGCAGAGUAGGAAUGAAAGGAGGAGUCACCUCACUCUGCUCUUCCCCCCACACACACACGCAUGCACACACACCUUUUGUUAGUCCUUUGCCAUCAAUGAAUUCGGUGGGGAGGAAAAAUCUAGAUUGGCCAACAAGUUUGGGAGUUGAAUUAUGAAGGGUAAAUCCUGACUGUCUUGAUCUCAAACUAGGAGUAUAAGUAGCAUUUUAUAUUUUUAGCUAACUUGGAGGAAAGGAUUAUAUCAUUCCUCUGGCAAUAACUUGAGAAUUGUUUUUUAAAUAUCAAAUAUCAGUUUGAAUCUCCAGGACUAAUGGGAACAUGUCUGAAAGAAACCUUAAAUUAGAUUACAUUGUUUACUUUUUGAUAAUUCAAGAAUUAUUUUUCUGUCUGACACUGACCAAUAAAGAAAGAGUUAAAUAUAA